CCGAGUUAUCAACUCCCAACCCCUGUGAACAUACCUUUUGUUGCCUCGGCGGGAUCGCCCCGGCGCCUCCGGGCCCGGAUCCAGGCGCCCGCCGCAGGACCCAAACUCUUGUUUUCUAUAUGAAUCUUCUGAGUGACACAAGCAAAUAAAUUA
RNAcentral lists this unclassified non-coding RNA (153 nucleotides) under soil metagenome. Its description in RNAcentral is "partial internal transcribed spacer 1". The record is from RNAcentral.